Molecule: ribosomal RNA, 504 nt
Filed under: uncultured soil bacterium
Lineage: Bacteria
Description: bacterial SSU rRNA
Rfam family: Bacterial small subunit ribosomal RNA
Source: RNAcentral
AGAGUUUGAUCCUGGCUCAGAAUCAACGCUGGCGGCGUGCCUCAGACAUGCAAGUCGAACGCGAAAGUUCCCUUCGGGGAGCAAGUAGAGUGGCGCACGGGUGAGUAACACGUAGGUAAUCUACCUUUGGAUUGGGAAUAACAACCGGAAACGGUUGCUAAUACCGAAUAAUGCAGCGGCACCUAAUGGUGACAGUUGUUAAAGCGGGGGAUCGCAAGACCUCGCGUCUAAAGAGGAGCCUGCGGCGGAUUAGCUAGUUGGUAAGGUAAUGGCUUACCAAGGCUAUGAUCCGUAGCCGGCCUGAGAGGGCGGUCGGCCACACUGACACUGACAUACGGGUCAGACUCCUACGGGAGGCAGCAGUCGGGAAUUUUGGGCAAUGGGCGAAAGCCUGACCCAGCAACGCCGCGUGAAGGAUGUAAUCCUUCGGGAUGUAAACUUCGCAAGAACGGGAAGAAUAAGUAAGAGCUAACAUCUCUUAUGAUGACGGUACUUUGAAGUCCG